This 119-nucleotide ribosomal RNA is filed under the name Esox lucius (northern pike). The record is from RNAcentral. Lineage: Eukaryota; Metazoa; Chordata; Actinopteri; Esociformes; Esocidae.
UCUUACGGCCACACCUCCCGAGCAACGCCCGAUCUCGUCUGAUCUCGGAAGCUAAGCAGGGUCGGGCCCGGUUAGUACUUGGAUGGGAGACCGCCUGGGAAUACCAGGUGCUGUAAGCC